Molecule: long non-coding RNA, 2894 nt
Filed under: Podarcis lilfordi (Lilford's wall lizard)
Lineage: Eukaryota; Metazoa; Chordata; Lepidosauria; Squamata; Lacertidae
Source: RNAcentral
CCAUGGACACAUAUCUCAGACUGCCUGAUUUGUAUAUCUCAAGCCACCAGGUUUGUCUGAAGUACUUAAAUUAGCUGGCUUGAUUACACAACAACAGCAAAACUUUUAAGAUAUUACCAAGCACGAGAAGAUAAGAAGAGCCUGGAUAUCUUAAAAGUGUUGGGGUUGUUGUAUAUUCAAGCUAACUAAUAUAAUAUUGAUACUUUAGACAAAGUUGAGGACUUGUGCAGUCGUCAAGGCACGGUUGAGCAGAUGGGUGGGUGUGGCGUUUGUCUUGCUCUUGGUCACACAAAACAACAUCAGAGAUUCUGCCCACAAAAUAAUGAUUUCAACCACAAACCUUAUGCCACAAACAAUUACAAAAGUGCUUGAUGGAUUAUGCUACGGGAGAGGCUCUGCAUUUUCCAUUGCUUGAAAACUGACAGAUUCCCAUGAUGAGAAUGCUACCUAGGUAAAUCACAUGUUGGUCAUGUGCUACAAAUGGAAAAUAAAUACAAAUCGGCUUCUUGAAAAACAAGAGCCAGUGAAAUGUAGUGGUGAUACUGUUAGACUAGCACUGGCAGUGGCAUAGUGUGGGGGGCCAGAAGGGCAGUGGCUCUGGGCGCAAAAUUCUGAGAGGGGCACAACCAGGCACAGUGCCCAUGCACCCCACCCCCGGGCCCAGGCAGCACCAGCACCACUGGCAGCCAUGUGCCUCGUGGGCUCUGCACUCCCCUGGCACGCACCUCCACUCCAGCUGCCCAGUCCACCAGGGGGCACAACACUUCCCUGCCCAGGGCACCAGCAACCCAUGCUAUGCCACUGAGGGUGUACUGGGGACACCCAGAUUCAACCAUAUGUCAGGAGUGCUCUGAUGGUGUUUCCUGCUUGGCAGGGGGUUGGACUCGAUGGCCCUUGUGGUCUCUUCCAACUCUAUGAUUCUAUGAUUCUAUAGUACAAGAUAGUACAAUAAUACUUGGCUAGUUUAGAUGUAUUCAAGUCUCACUUCCGGGGGAGGUGCCUCUGGUAAUGGCAGAAUUCCUCUGACCGGGAGGAAUCUGCUCCGUGGAAAUCUGGGUCUGGCCGCCACGGCAAAGGCGGAGACCCGUUAAAAUCACAGGCGGGAGAAGCCUGUGAACGUGGGAUUCGGCAGGCACCUUUUGCGCCUCUCCCACUCGUGGGGAACCCUGGGUUUUGGGGCUCCGGAGCGAUGUGGGGUGAGCGGCGCGGUGCAUCGAAUCGUCUACUUCUUCCACGGAGCGAAGCCGCAUAGCUGUUGCCGGAGAGUGCUGACCUUUUCCUGUGGACAAUUUGACUUUAAAGUAAUUACCCGUGAGUAGAGCUGAAACGGAAGAAUUGGAUUUCUAAAAGUUUAAUUUGGUAUCGUAACGGGGAGGUUCAAAACAGGAAGUCUGCCUUCCCUUUUUGUAAAUAGACUGAGGCAAUGAAGUUGCAAGCUGGAGUCUUGAAAGGUCUUUUGAAAAAGAUCAAAUUUCCAACGGUAAAGAACAUUAAACCCCCUCUUGGAGGCAGGAGAAGAGAGGGGGAAGUUGCGGACUGAGUAUGCCUGCGGGAGAGAGCGAAGAGGCUUAAAACACCGCCGCUCUGACCCUGGAAACGGGCUGCUAGUAAAACUGACGUUUUUUGGAAUGUUCAUUGACAGUGCUUAGAACGUUCAUUGACAGCUAGCUAAAUAAGAGAAAUACAUUGUUUCUACUGUUUCCGGCUGCUUUAAAAAGGAGUAAAAGUAAUUGAAAAUUGAAACUAAUUUGAAACUAACUUUGGAUUGUUUAAAAGAGGAUACUAUUGACUUUUACAAAUAGAAACUGUUUCCCCCUAGUGGAAGCCUUUGAAACUGGUUGAUUUACAAGAGUUGGACUAGGGGAAUUUCCAGCUGUAAGUUAAAAACCGUGAGACUCUGGGACUGACCUUGAAUCUUUCAAAUGUUAUGGUAAAUGGAAGAGGAAAAACAGACCAGUCAACUAUUGAUAAAACAUUAAGGUCUGGGAGAACUUGGUAACAAUCCAGGAGAGGUUUAUUAUUAAGCCCUCCUAUUCUUUUUGUUGCUGCCUCUGUACUAGUAUAUUUGAAACUAAGAGGAAUGUCGACAGAAGAGGCUUUGGUGGCAGCAUUACAUAAGAUAAAUCACUCAUUGGAUCAGCUUCACAAGAAAAUGGACAUGAUAAGUGCGAAGGUGGAUGUUUCAGUUGUUGAGGUUGACUUGAAUGCAGGGAGUAUGGACAAUACCAAUACAGAAACCACCCAGAAAUUGAUACAAGAACCUAUUUUGAUAUGGCAAGCUAUGGAGGAAGUCAAGGAAAAAGCUGCUGCUGUUGAAGGUACAGAAACACAACUGGAGAGAAAGAGAAAGAGAGCCCCAGCCCUACAGAGGCAAUUUGAUGAACACAAGUUGACGCUCGCUAUGACUGAAUUUAAGGAAAAACAGACGAAUUUGAGGAUUAGAGUUCACCUUUGGUGGACAUGCCCAAGGAUUAAGACACUCUGGGAGAUGAUUCAUAACGAAAUGAAAAAGGUAUUUAAAUAUACCCUUUUGAAGAAACCAGAGGCCUUUCUCCUGGGCAUGGUCGGUCAAUUGGUGUUAAAGAAGGAUAGAAUUUGUCUCAUGUAUGUAACAAUAGCAGCAAGAAUACUCAUUGUGAAGUACUGAAAGACACAAGAUUUAUCUAUCCGGGAAGAAUGGCAGAUGAAGUUGAUGGACUAUAUGGAAUUGGCGGAAACGACUGGCAGAAAUCCGAGACCAGGGAGAAAAGACGGUGGAAGAAGACUGGAAAAAGUUUAAGACUAUUUAUAGAAAUAUUGUAAAAAUAAUGAAUGUUAGAAAAAUGUUGGAAUGAAGUUAUAUGGCUUUAGUAGAAAUGUUAUAAGGAAUUAAGUAUAAAUAGAAAUAGAGUAUC